UACGGAGGGUGCAAGCAUUGAUCGGAAUUACUGGGCGUAAAGGGUGCGUAGGCGGCAGGACAAGUCGGAUGUGAAAUUCCGGGGCUCAACCCCGGAGCUGCAUUUGAAACUGUCCAGCUAGAGUAUAGUUAGGGUAAACGGAAUUCCACGUGUAGCGGUGAAAUGCGUAGAUAUGUGGAAGAACACCAGUGGUGAAGACGGUUUACUGGGCUAUAACUGACGCUGAGGCACGAGAGCAUGGGGAGCAAACAGG
This 253-nucleotide ribosomal RNA is filed under the name uncultured bacterium. RNAcentral describes it as "partial 16S ribosomal RNA". It matches the Rfam family "Bacterial small subunit ribosomal RNA", at positions 524 to 776 of the family's 1533-position model. The record is from RNAcentral.